RNA transcript from Myotis brandtii (Brandt's bat), 761 nucleotides. It is a transcript of the gene named high mobility group protein B3 pseudogene, with no coding region annotated. The transcript has a single exon. Lineage: Eukaryota; Metazoa; Chordata; Mammalia; Chiroptera; Vespertilionidae. The record is from RefSeq and is a predicted model, not a curated record.
UGGAGGUAGCUAGCACAAGGCUGGGUAGCACUGAGCCUCGUGUUGUGCCCUGCGCUGCCCAGGCUAGCGAACAACACAGUCAGGAUGGCUACAGGUGAUCCCAAGAAGCCAAAGGGCAAGAUGCCUGCUUAUGCCUUCUUUGUGCAGACAUGCAGAGAGGAACAUAAGAAGAAAAACCCAGAAGUUCCAGUCAAUUUUGCAGAAUUUUCUAAGAAGUGUUCUGAGAGGUGGAAGACAAUGUCGGCAAAAGAGAAAUCUAAAUUUGAUGAGAUGGCAAAGGCAUAUAAAGUACGCUAUGAUCAGGAAAUGAAGGAUUAUGGACCAGCUAAAGGAGGCAAGAAGAAGGACCCAAAUGCCCCCAAAAGGCCACUGUCUGGAUUUUUCCUUUUCUGCUUGAAAUUCCACCCCAAGAUCAAAUCCACAAACCCUGGAGUCUCUAUUGGAGAUGUGGCAAAGAAGCUGGGCGAGAUGUGGAAUAAUUUAAGUGACAGCGAAAAGAAACUUUACAACAAUAAGGCUGCAAAGCUGAAGGAGAAAUAUGAGAAGGAUGUCGCCGACUAUAUAAGUCUAAAGGCAAGCUUGAUGGUGCAAAGGGUAUCAGUAAAGUUACCCAGAAAAAGGUGGAAGAAGAUGAAAAAGAGGAGGAGGAAGAGGAGAAGAAAGAAGAGGAGAGGAGAAGGAGGAUGAAUAAAAAAACUGUUUAUCUCCUUGUGAAUACCUUAGUGGAGGGGAGGACCAUAAUUGAUACAGCUCUUAUUUGA